GACGAACGCUGGCGGCGUGCUUAACACAUGCAAGUCGAACGGAGUGGUGAACGGGUGAGUAACAAGUGGGUGACCUGCCCUGCACUUCGGGAUAAGCCUGGGAAACUGGGUCUAAUACCGGAUAGUGUGGGAUGGGCGCUGGGCCAAUCGGCUUGUUGGUGGGGUAAGGGACUACCAAGGCGGCGACGGGUAGCCGGCCUGGGAGGGUGGACGGCCACAUUGGGACUGAGAGACGGCGCAGACUGCUACGGGAGGCAGCAGUGGGGAAUAUUGCACAAUGGGCGGGCGCCUGAUGCAGAGACGCCGCGUGGGGGAUGACGGCCUUCGGGUUGUGAACUCCUUUCACCAUAGACGCGGUAGAUGGAGAAGAAGCACCGGCUAACUACGUGCCAGCAGCCGCGGUAAUAC
Molecule: ribosomal RNA, 408 nt
Filed under: uncultured bacterium
Lineage: Bacteria
Description: partial 16S ribosomal RNA
Rfam family: Bacterial small subunit ribosomal RNA
Source: RNAcentral